CCUACGGGUGGCAGCAGUGGGGAAUAUUGCACAAUGGGGGAAACCCUGAUGCAGCAACGCCGCGUGAGCGAUGAAGGCCUUCGGGUCGUAAAGCUCUGUCCUAAGGGAAGUAUACUGACGGUACCUUAGGAGGAAGCCCCGGCUAACUACGUGCCAGCAGCCGCGGUAAUUCGUAGGGGGCUAGCGUUAUCCGGAAUUGCUGGGCGUAAAGGGGGCAUAGGCGGCCCUUCAAGUCAGAGGUGAAAGGCUACGGUUCAAUCGGAAUAAGCCGUUGAAACUGAAGGGCGUGAGUGCAGGAGAGGAGAGGGGAACUCCCAGUGCAGCGGUGAAAAGCGUAGAUAUUGGGGGGAACACCAGGUGCGAAGGCGGCUCUCUGGACUGUAACUGCCGCUGAGGCACGAAAGCGUGGGGGGCGAACAGGAUUAGAUACCCUUGUAGUC
RNAcentral lists this ribosomal RNA (440 nucleotides) under uncultured bacterium. RNAcentral's name for it is "bacterial SSU rRNA". It matches the Rfam family "Bacterial small subunit ribosomal RNA", at positions 338 to 795 of the family's 1533-position model. The record is from RNAcentral.